Molecule: ribosomal RNA, 466 nt
Filed under: uncultured bacterium
Lineage: Bacteria
Description: bacterial SSU rRNA
Rfam family: Bacterial small subunit ribosomal RNA
Source: RNAcentral
CCUANGGGGGGCAGCAGUGGGGAAUUUUGCGCAAUGGGGGAAACCCUGACGCAGCAACGCCGCGUGAGUGAUGAAGGCCUUCGGGUCGUAAAGCUCUUUUAGUGGGGAAGAAUCCCACCCGGGCUAAUACCUCGGGUGUCUGACGGUACCCACAGAAAAAGUUCCGGCUAACUACGUGCCAGCAGCCGCGGUAAUACGUAGGGAGCAAGCGUUGUUCGGAAUUAUUGGGCGUAAAGAGCGCGUAGGCGGUUCGGUAAGUCUGACGUGAAAUCCCAGAGCUUAACUCUGGAACUGCGUUGGAUACUGCCGAGCUAGAGUGUGGGAGAGGUGAGUGGAAUUCCCAGUGUAGAGGUGAAAUUCGUAGAUAUUGGGAGGAACACCCGUGGCGAAGGCGGCUCACUGGACCACAACUGACGCUGAGGCGCGAAAGCUAGGGUAGCAAACAGGAUUAGAUACCCUUNUANUC